RNAcentral lists this ribosomal RNA (441 nucleotides) under uncultured bacterium. RNAcentral describes it as "partial 16S ribosomal RNA". It matches the Rfam family "Bacterial small subunit ribosomal RNA", at positions 338 to 795 of the family's 1533-position model. The record is from RNAcentral.
CCUACGGGAGGCAGCAGUGGGGGAUAUUGCACAAUGGGGGGAACCCUGAUGCAGCGACGCCGCGUGGGUGAAGGAGUGCUUCGGCAUGUAAAGCCCUAUCGGCAGGGAAGAAGCAAGACGGUACCUGACCAAGAAGCCCCGGCUAACUACGUGCCAGCAGCCGCGGUAAUACGUAGGGGGCAAGCGUUAUCCGGAAUUACUGGGUGUAAAGGGAGCGUAGACGGUUAAGUAAGUCUGGAGUGAAAGGCCGGGGCCCAACCCCGGGACUGCUCUGGAAACUAUUGAACUUGAGUGCAGGAGAGGUAAGCGGAAUUCCUAGUGUAGCGGUGAAAUGCGUAGAUAUUAGGAGGAACACCAGUGGCGAAGGCGGCUUACUGGACUGUAACUGACGUUGAGGCUCGAAAGCGUGGGGAGCAAACAGGAUUAGAUACCCGGGUAGUC